This 864-nucleotide ribosomal RNA is filed under the name Fusarium oxysporum. RNAcentral's name for it is "eukaryotic LSU rRNA". The stretch from base 294 to 447 matches the Rfam family "5.8S ribosomal RNA". The record is from RNAcentral. Lineage: Eukaryota; Fungi; Ascomycota; Sordariomycetes; Hypocreales; Nectriaceae.
CCCCUAUGGCUCGUGAGGCGUCCGGACUGGCCCAGAGAGGUGGGCAACUACCACUCAGGGCCGGAAAGCUCUCCAAACUCGGUCAUUUAGAGGAAGUAAAAGUCGUAACAAGGUCUCCGUUGGUGAACCAGCGGAGGGAUCAUUACCGAGUUUACAACUCCCAAACCCCUGUGAACAUACCACUUGUUGCCUCGGCGGAUCAGCCCGCUCCCGGUAAAACGGGACGGCCCGCCAGAGGACCCCUAAACUCUGUUUCUAUAUGUAACUUCUGAGUAAAACCAUAAAUAAAUCAAAACUUUCAACAACGGAUCUCUUGGUUCUGGCAUCGAUGAAGAACGCAGCAAAAUGCGAUAAGUAAUGUGAAUUGCAGAAUUCAGUGAAUCAUCGAAUCUUUGAACGCACAUUGCGCCCGCCAGUAUUCUGGCGGUCAUGCCUGUUCGAGCGUCAUUUCAACCCUCAAGCACAGCUUGGUGUUGGGACUCGCGUUAAUUCGCGUUCCUCAUAUUGAUUGGCGGUCACGUCGAGCUUCCAUAGCGUAGUAGUAAAACCCUCGUUACUGGUAAUCGUCGCGGCCACGCCGUUAAACCCCAACUUCUGAAUGUUGACCUCGGAUCAGGUAGGAAUACCCGCUGACUUAAGCAUAUCAAUAAGCGGAGGAAAGAAACCAACAGGGAUUGCCCUAGUAACGGCGAGUGAAGCGGCACAGCUCAAUUUUGAAUCUGGCUCUCGGUCCCGAGUUGUAUUUUGUAGAGGAUGACUUUUGAUGCGGUGGCCGUCGAGUUCCCUGGAACGGGACGUCCAUAAUGGUGGUGGCCCCCGUGUGCUGAUGGCCUAUCCUCUCGUAGUUACUUCUAACAAGCGAGA